CCUGGCUCAGGAUGAACGCUAGCUACAGGCUUAACACAUGCAAGUCAGGGGCAGCAUGUUGGUUGCUUGCAACCAAUGAUGGCGACCGGCGCACGGGUGAGUAACGCGUAUCCAACCUUCCCCUUAGUAGGGCAUAGCCCGUAGAAAUGCGGAUUAAUACCCUAUGUUGUAUAUUGAGGACAUCUGAUUUAUACCAAAGGUUUACCGCUAAGGGAUGGGGAUGCGUCUGAUUAGGUUGUUGGCGGGGUAACGGCCCACCAAGCCGACGAUCAGUAGGGGUUCUGAGAGGAAGGUCCCCCACAUUGGAACUGAGACACGGUCCAAACUCCUACGGGAGGCAGCAGUGAGGAAUAUUGGUCAAUGGACGAGAGUCUGAACCAGCCAAGUAAGCGUGCAGGAUGACGGCCCUAUGGGUUGUAAACUGCUUUUAUACGGGGAUAAAGUGACCCACGUGUGGGUUUUUGUAGGUACCGUAUGAAUAAGGACCGGCUAAUUCCGUGCCAGCAGCAGC
This 511-nucleotide ribosomal RNA is filed under the name uncultured bacterium. RNAcentral's name for it is "bacterial SSU rRNA". It matches the Rfam family "Bacterial small subunit ribosomal RNA", at positions 18 to 518 of the family's 1533-position model. The record is from RNAcentral.